UGGAACGGCGGCCACUGGCCAGUGCCAGGGCGCGGCCACGGGAAUGGCCACGGCGGGUUCUGGCCGUGGGGGCUGUCGGCCGGCGGCACACCUGGUGUCGGCUGCCCGUCGUCCGGCUCCGGCGCAGGUGGCGAAACGUCCGGCUCCGGCGGCGCGUGGUGCCCGUGGUGUUUGGGCGGCGCCUUCGGGUGGUGGUGCUUCGGCUUGGGUGGCGCUUUCUCAUGGUCCUGGUGCUUGCUCUUCACGUGCUGACCGUGUCCAGUCAACGGCGGCGGCGCGCCAGCGACAGGAGCGUACUCCGG
RNAcentral lists this unclassified non-coding RNA (302 nucleotides) under Zea mays. RNAcentral's name for it is "misc RNA Zm00001eb202250". Lineage: Eukaryota; Viridiplantae; Streptophyta; Magnoliopsida; Poales; Poaceae. The record is from RNAcentral.